CUAUGAUUCCAUAAUGUGCCACCUACAUCAAGGCAUAAAGGAUCUCUGCACAGGUGUAACUCAAGCAGUGUCCCUGCUCAAAGAGCAAUCCUAUCGUGCAACCAAGUGUCAUGCAGGGAGAACUCAAGAGACUCUUACUCUACUCACUAUUUAUGAGACUACCUGAUGUUCUGGACUGGCUAACAAAUGAGGUAGAAAAUGAGUCUGUAAAUCUCUCACUUGCUUAGGAAGAAGGAAGCAUGAUCAAAGUUGAGAAAACAUGGUUACAGCUGCUUCAGUGACAAGUGAACUUUACAGAACGAAGCACAGAUCUUAGGCCUCAAGAUCUUCACUCAAUACAAAGUGAAACAUUAACCAUACCAAAAGAAGAUGGAUUUAGGGAAAUCUUAACCUUCCUUCAUUCCUUCCAUCUUUCCUUCCUUUUUUAAUUCCUUCCUUCCUCCCUUCCUUCCUUCCUUCUUUCCUUUCUUUUGUCUUUUCUCCCUUCCUGCUUGCUAUUCCAACAUAAAUAAUUACAGUGAUCCACAAAAAGGAGGAAGUGACCAUCCUGGAGUAACGGAGUUGUUAGUCUAUUGUAUCAAGAAUCUCUUCUCUUGAGCGCGUAAAAAAGCAAGUUCACCUAGCCCUGGGAGAGGAUUCACAUGACUGGAAUUUAAAUGGUCAUACAAAUGUUUCCAACAUGAAUAAUCAGUGGUAGUUUAGAGGCAGAGGGAGCAUCUGACAGGCAAACAGGCAGCUCAUAGCUCUGGUAGCUAACUUCUGUGAAUCUUGCUCUUCAGGGCCUAAUUUUUAUGUUGUGUUGAGGAAGGUUAUUUGCCUAAUUUGAGAUUUGAGUUAAUGGUAGAUAGGUUCGG
This 854-nucleotide long non-coding RNA is filed under the name Meleagris gallopavo (turkey). RNAcentral describes it as "lncRNA (ENSMGAG00000018840.1)". Lineage: Eukaryota; Metazoa; Chordata; Aves; Galliformes; Phasianidae. The record is from RNAcentral.